Molecule: ribosomal RNA, 468 nt
Filed under: uncultured bacterium
Lineage: Bacteria
Description: bacterial SSU rRNA
Rfam family: Bacterial small subunit ribosomal RNA
Source: RNAcentral
GAUGAACGCUGGCGGCGUGCUUAACACAUGCAAGUCGAACGGACUUUUAUUGAAGCCUAGCGAUAUAAAAGUUAGUGGCGGACGGGUGAGUAACGCGUGAAUAACCUGCCUUAUACUGGGGGACAACAGUUGGAAACGACUGCUAAUACCGCAUAAGCGCACGGUUCCGCAUGGAACAGUGUGAAAAACUCCGGUGGUAUAAGAUGGAUUCGUGUCUGAUUAGAUAGUUGGUGAGGUAACGGCUCACCAAGUCGACGAUCAGUAGCCGGCCUGAGAGGGUGAACGGCCACAUUGGGACUGAGACACGGCCCAAACUCCUACGGGAGGCAGCAGUGGGGAAUAUUGCACAAUGGGGGAAACCCUGAUGCAGCGACGCCGCGUGAGUGAAGAAGUAUUUCGGUAUGUAAAGCUCUAUCAGCAGGGAAGAAAAUGACGGUACCUGACUAAGAAGCACCGGCUAAAUACGUG